CGCUGUAGCAAUACAGAGCGGCAGACGGGUGAGUAACACGUGGGAAUCUACCCAACCCUACGGAACAACUCCGGGAAACUGGAGCUAAUACCGUAUACGCCCUUCGGGGGAAAGAUUUAUCGGGGAUGGAUGAGCCCGCGUUGGAUUAGCUAGUUGGUGGGGUAAAGGCCUACCAAGGCGACGAUCCAUAGCUGGUCUGAGAGGAUGAUCAGCCACAUUGGGACUGAGACACGGCCCAAACUCCUACGGGAGGCAGCAGUGGGGAAUAUUGGACAAUGGGCGCAAGCCUGAUCCAGCCAUGCCGCGUGAGUGAUGAAGGCCUUAGGGUUGUAAAGCUCUUUCACCGAUGAAGAUAAUGACGGUAGUCGGAGAAGAAGCCCCGGCUAACUUCGUGCCAGCAGCCGCGGUAAUACGAAGGGGGCUAGCGUUGUUCGGAAUUACUGGGCGUAAAGCGCACGUAGGCGGAUAUUUAAGUCAGGGGUGAAAUCCCGCAGCUCAACUGCGGAACUGCCUUUGAUACUGGGUAUCUUGAGUAUGGAAGAGGUUAGUGGAAUUGCGAGUGUAGAGGUGAAAUUCGUAGAUAUUCGCAGGAACACCAGUGGCGAAUGCGGCUAACUGGUCCAUAACUGACGCUGAGGUGCGAAAGCGUGGGGAGCAAACAGGAUUAGAUACCCUGGUAGUCCACGCCGUACACGAUGAAUGUUAGCCGUCGGCAAGUUUACUUGUCGGUGGCGCAGCUAACGCAUUAAACAUUCCGCCUGGGGAGUACGGUCGCAAGAUUAAAACUCAUAUGAAUUGACUGGG
This 804-nucleotide ribosomal RNA is filed under the name uncultured Alphaproteobacteria bacterium. Its description in RNAcentral is "bacterial SSU rRNA". It matches the Rfam family "Bacterial small subunit ribosomal RNA", at positions 67 to 918 of the family's 1533-position model. The record is from RNAcentral. Lineage: Bacteria; Pseudomonadati; Pseudomonadota; Alphaproteobacteria.